Molecule: long non-coding RNA, 563 nt
Organism: Amphimedon queenslandica
Lineage: Eukaryota; Metazoa; Porifera; Demospongiae; Haplosclerida; Niphatidae
Exons: 4
Source: RefSeq, a predicted model, not a curated record
GUAUAAGACAAGAAGAAGUCCUGGAGAGUUUAUUUCAGGAAGGAAUAAUUACAUGUGUGCUGAAAUAAUUUACAUAAGACAAAGAGAUAACAUUGUUCUCAAUGAUGAUAGCACGUCUUGUGAGGAAGAAUGAGAGAUUAUUGGCGAGGAAGUGACAACCACACACAGCAGCUUAAAAGGAACAAAGAAAUAAUAGUCAUACAGGGCUCCAUUUUCUGACGGAAGCUGUGGUGGUGACAUAAAGAGUAUAGUAAUGGUAUGGGCAAGACUGGUGGAGGGACAGGAUCUGGUGAGUUAAGGCUCUGUGACAAACAACCUGAUACUCAAUAAUUAUUGUAUCACCUACAUGUAUUAGCCUGUCAGCUUUUACUAAAGUCACUAAGUCAGACCCAUUAAUAAGGAGUAAGACACUGUGUCAUUUCGUUCUCGGACUAGUCCCAAAGAUAUGUUAGCUCCUCCCACUAGACCAGUACCAGUAUGCUGUUAAGAAAAGAGUGAAUAUUUAAAGAGAAAAAGAUGUCAUCUUUUCAUUUUGAAAGAGCCUAUCAUGACUACAUGUCUGA